This 743-nucleotide ribosomal RNA is filed under the name Bacillus thuringiensis. Its description in RNAcentral is "bacterial SSU rRNA". It matches the Rfam family "Bacterial small subunit ribosomal RNA", at positions 56 to 783 of the family's 1533-position model. Lineage: Bacteria; Bacillati; Bacillota; Bacilli; Caryophanales; Bacillaceae. The record is from RNAcentral.
UGCAAGUCGAGCGAAUGGAUUGAGAGCUUGCUCUCAAGAAGUUAGCGGCGGACGGGUGAGUAACACGUGGGUAACCUGCCCAUAAGACUGGGAUAACUCCGGGAAACCCGGGGCUAAUACCGGAUAAUAUUUUGAACUGCAUGGUUCGAAAUUGAAAGGCGGCUUCGGGCUGUCACUUUAUGGAUGGACCCGCGUCGCAUUAGCUAGUUGGUGAGGUAACGGCUCACCAAGGCAACGAUGCGUAGCCNGACCUGAGAGGGUGAUCGGCCACACUUGGGACUGAGACACGGCCCAGACUCCUACGGGAGGCAGCAGUAGGGAAUCUUCCGCAAUGGACGAAAGUCUGACGGAGCAACGCCGCGUGAGUGAUGAAGGCUUUCGGGUCGUAAAACUCUGUUGUUAGGGAAGAACAAGUGCUAGUUGAAUAAGCUGGCACCUUGACGGUACCUAACCAGAAAGCCACGGCUAACUACGUGCCAGCAGCCCGCGGUAAUACGUAGGUGGCAAGCGUUAUCCGGAAUUAUUGGGCGUAAAGCCCCCGCAGGUGGUUUCUUAAGUCUGAUGUGAAACCCACGGCUCANCCGUGGAGGGUCAUUGGNAACUGGGAGACUUGAGUGCAGAAGAGGAAAGUGGANUNCAUGUGUAGCGGUGAAAUGCGUAGAGAUAUGGAGGACACCAGUGGCGAGGCGACUUUCUGUCUGUACUGACACUGAGCGCGAAACGGGGGGAGCAACAGGAUAGAU